Molecule: ribosomal RNA, 293 nt
Filed under: uncultured bacterium
Lineage: Bacteria
Description: partial 16S ribosomal RNA
Rfam family: Archaeal small subunit ribosomal RNA
Source: RNAcentral
GUGCUAGCCGCUGCGGUAAUACCGGCAGCACGAGUGAUGGCCGCUAUUAUUGGGCCUAAAGCGUCCGUAGCCGGCCGGGCAAGUCCGUCGGGAAAUCCACCCGCUUAACGGGUGGGCGUCCGGCGGAAACUGCUCGGCUUGGGACCGGAGGACCCGAGGGGUACGUCCGGGGUAGGAGUGAAAUCCCGUAAUCCCGGACGGACCGCCGGUGGCGAAAGCGCCUCGGGAGGACGGAUCCGACGGUGAGGGACGAAGGCUAGGGUCUCGAACCGGAUUAGAUACCCCGGUAGUCC